ACGCGCAACAGAUUAGGCCAAUUUGAACGUUCCAAAGUUAACGUCUUUGUUAGCAUAAUUCGCUUACGCAUCCAUUCGCUUUUGUAUUUGUUAUCCCUCACAGCGAGCAAUGUCGUUUCACGUUUUCCUUUUUUUUUCGCUUCACUACAUUUACAUCACAGAACACGUCUGCAUCAGGACUGCAACGUUUUCAAGGAGAAACAAAGAAAAGAAGAAAAAAACACAAAAAUGCUUUGACAUGCACAAAUGACCAUUGGAUUAUUCUGUUGCAAAUCUAAAUCCCCCAGCAACUUGAGGCAACAUCUGAAACUAUGUCGCUGGAAUACAACAACAAAAAAUUAGUCUAACGUGAUGUUGUACAAAACGGAAGCCCGGCUUUCUCCUCCAACCUGCGUUGCCAUUGUCAACCCUUCCGCUCGGAGCAAGUGUUUGUCUGCACUCGACGAAGUGUGAUUGAAGCAAUACAGCCAUUCCGGCUAUUGUGAACGUAAAAUCUGGAAGUGAUUGUUUCCCGGCAGGCAGCGUCGUGUGAAACAACAAAUCUGUUGGGUAACCUCCAAAUGUCACUAACACGGGAAAAAAGAAAGAAAGAGAGAAGGAGAGGGGGAGUGGGGCAUGACAGCCAUGGUUGCAGUUUGAAUGCCACGGCCAAAGUGACAGGAUAUUUUGGGGUGGAGUGUUCAAUGUGCUGGUUUGCUGCAUGAUUUGUUGUUUACGUGCUAAGGGAGGCUUUCUUCCCGACAGUCGUUAACUUAACGUUUUCAAAGCCGACAUUGUAACGUUCAAAACAGAACAAAACAACAUCGAGAAUUAAUGGGACUGUGAAUGGGAAACGUUACAACUAUCAGAUCUACACCUACAAUCUAUGUGUGUUUGUAUAUUCAAAUACAAGGUUGUUUAGGCGAAAUUCCCGUAGGCGAUCAAUAAAAUCGAAUAAAGAAAACUUUAAAUUUAUUACAAACUUUUUGGCAAAACACACACACACCACCGCCGCAUCCCUGCACCAAACACAGGCUACACACAAAGACUUGCUACAAGUUGGCUACAACACACAACUGAGACCUAAUUCAUCCAACAAAUGAUUGAAUGGAAAUGCAGCCUUUACAUUUGUUGAAAUAAAAUUUAAGGACAUUGCCCAGAAGGCCAAACAAACCGGGAUCGAAGUGACCUUUAGAUGCCAGUCAAUUGAAUAGAAUUCCGUAGGAAUCGAGUGACCUUUUUGAAAAGUGAAACUUUUACUCUGCUACGACUAGCUCAGUCGAGGUUGGUUGACACCGCCACACAAAUAAAAUGCUCAUUAAAUGACAAUACUUCUACGAAUGGAAAAUAUUUCAUGGCUCGAUUGUCAUCGCUGUCUAAGAGGAUAUUUAACGAAACGAAUGGAAAACCAUUGAUGUGUAUCGGACAGUUCAAAAUCGUCGUGUUAGAGAAAUGCGUUUCUAUUGAAAAUCUCCAUUUUCGCUGAUAUUAGUUGUUGUUCACAGAGUGAUUCAUAAAACAAAUAUGGUAUUUGGAACUGUGA
This is a long non-coding RNA of Musca domestica (house fly), 1522 nucleotides long. RefSeq lists it as uncharacterized. The record is from RefSeq and is a predicted model, not a curated record. Lineage: Eukaryota; Metazoa; Arthropoda; Insecta; Diptera; Muscidae. The transcript has 3 exons.